GGAAACAGGUGCUAAUACCGGAUAAGAAAGACGGAUCGCAUGAUCAGCUUUUAAAAGGCGGCGUAAGCUGUCGCUAUGGGAUGGCCCCGCGGUGCAUUAGCUAGUUGGUAAGGUAAAGGCUUACCAAGGCGAUGAUGCAUAGCCGAGUUGAGAGACUGAUCGGCCACAUUGGGACUGAGACACGGCCAAACUCCUACGGGAGGCAGCAGAC
RNAcentral lists this ribosomal RNA (211 nucleotides) under uncultured Lactobacillus sp. RNAcentral describes it as "partial 16S ribosomal RNA". It matches the Rfam family "Bacterial small subunit ribosomal RNA", at positions 152 to 354 of the family's 1533-position model. The record is from RNAcentral. Lineage: Bacteria; Bacillati; Bacillota; Bacilli; Lactobacillales; Lactobacillaceae.